RNAcentral lists this long non-coding RNA (1451 nucleotides) under Olea europaea subsp. europaea. Lineage: Eukaryota; Viridiplantae; Streptophyta; Magnoliopsida; Lamiales; Oleaceae. The record is from RNAcentral.
AAAGACAAAUCCAAUCUCCACCUUUGAAUUCAAAUACGAUCAAUCUAAACCGUCCGUUGUAUUCUCGAUCCCAGCCGUUGAAAUGUAACGCCAGAUUUGAUCUACGCCCAAGAUGUCGCUGUGGCUUUCACGCUAAAUGGAAACGCGUCGCCUCGGUUACCAACAGCCGUCAAUAAUAAUUACUGGCCGCGGCAGCCUUCUAGGGGAAUGGGCGUGGCACCCAACUGUCACCUUGGAAACACGCAACAGUUGUCAAAUCAUUGGACUUCUGGGUCGCCUCGGAUGAUCUCCUCCCCCAACUUUACAAAGCUUAGCCGCAACCGAUGCGAAGGCCCCAGUCGCUAAUCGCCUCGGGCGCUGCGUUCCCUCCAUUGUUUUACGAAGUUCUAGCCAUCUCCCCACGCGUCGACCCUCUUUUCCGCCAACGCUUCGGCGAGAAACGAGUCCCCCAACUUUACAAAGCUUGGACGCACCCGAUGCAAGCGCCCCGUUUGUUAUCGCCUCGGUCGCUGCGCCCCCUCCCAUGCUUUGCAAAGCUCGAGCCGUCCCCCUCUUCCUGACAACGCUUCGAUGAAGACGAGUCCCUAAAAUUUUUAUAAUGCUUUAACGUACCCGACGCGAGCGUAUCAUUGACUCGUCGCCUCGGCUCUGCGUUCUUCCCAUGCUCUACAAAGUUUCAGCUACCCCCAUGCCGCGAUCCGGUCAGGAAAACAAAUCCACGUAUAAUAUAAAUAUUCAUUCUCAUAUUUGAGGGACCACUGUUACGCCUCAUUUUACGAGCCUCGGUACAGACGUACCGAAGUGUCACUCCGAAGCCGGUGAAAUCAAAUAGACCACUCCGACCUCCCGAAGCCUCCCCAAAGUGAUACACCGAUUCCUGUCACUGAUCUGUCGAAGUGUCCUGUCUCCGAGGUCGGGUUCAAGUGGCUUGAACCCCGGUUAGAAGAUUCGCUGCCAAUUUAAGAUUUGCUCUGCAUAUAAGGUUUAAAUUGAUUUGACGUCCCCCAUAAAGCUAUUUGAUGUGACUUAUCAACUUUAUGUCAAUUCAACUCGGGGGAAACAAACUGUCCGCCCACUCUACAAGCGCGGCUGAUUGACGCCUAUGAGCAGACGCUUCAUACCGUCAGAUGUAUACACGUGUUCCACAUCCCACGGUUCACACCACCUAUAAAUACCCAAAGAUUGGCCAGAGGCAAAGGUAAUGAAACUAUCAAUAGAUAGCACUCCAUAACAAGUUUAUAUAUUCUCCUCCCCCUUUAUUGACUGAUUGAUUUUGGUAGUCCCUGGACACUGUUCCGACCACCCAAACCUGACUUGAUCGUCGGAGUGUAUACGGCCGCCACCCCCGUUGGUUCCGGCCGUGUGCGCCUGACAGUUUGUUCAUUUCGUAGGGAGGAAUACGUGGAGUAGCUACAAGUUGGCCACGUGGAAGAGCCAUUUUUAGAGGUCAA